GAGUUUGAUCCUGGCUCAGAACGAACGCUGGCGGAAUGCUUAACACAUGCAAGUCGAACGAAGGCUUCGGCCUUAGUGGCGCACGGGUGAGUAACGCGUGGGAAUCUGCCUUGGGGUACGGAAUAACUCAGGGAAACUUGAGCUAAUACCGUAUGAUGUCGCGAGACCAAAGAUUUAUCGCCCUGAGAUGAGCCCGCGUUGGAUUAGCUAGUUGGUGGGGUAAAGGCCUACCAAGGCGACGAUCCAUAGCUGGUCUGAGAGGAUGAUCAGCCACACUGGGACUGAGACACGGCCCAGACUCCUACGGGAGGCAGCAGUGGGGAAUAUUGGACAAUGGGCGCAAGCCUGAUCCAGCAAUUCCGCGUGAGCGAAGAAGGCCUUCGGGUUGUAAAGCUCUUUCGGCGGGGACGAUAAUGACGGUACCCGCAGAAGAAGCCCCGGCUAACUCCGUGCCAGCAGCCGCGGGAC
RNAcentral lists this ribosomal RNA (468 nucleotides) under uncultured Alphaproteobacteria bacterium. Its description in RNAcentral is "bacterial SSU rRNA". It matches the Rfam family "Bacterial small subunit ribosomal RNA", at positions 9 to 523 of the family's 1533-position model. Lineage: Bacteria; Pseudomonadati; Pseudomonadota; Alphaproteobacteria. The record is from RNAcentral.